GCAUUACCUAGUGGAAGCAGAUUAGACCUGCAUGCUGGAACAAACAAUUUCCAUUCACCUCUGCUAUGCCGAUAGAACUCACCUUUCUUCCAACCACCAAUCAGGCAUUGGUGCUGGACCUUCCCUACAAGCUCCUGUUCCCAAAGCCAUACUGACUCUGUGAGAUCUCCAUAGCAUACGACCUUCCUUUCCGAACUGGCAAAGCACAGUCAGAGCGGAGCAAGGAGAGAGGCUGAAUACAUUUCUCCUGGAUGAGUUAUACCCAGAAGUGAUUACUUCCAGCAAGACAAAGGACACAGAGGGAGAGCCGCGAUCAUCACUGAUAAGAAAUAAUGAUUUUGUGCUGUUA
Molecule: non-coding RNA, 349 nt
Organism: Myodes glareolus (Bank vole)
Lineage: Eukaryota; Metazoa; Chordata; Mammalia; Rodentia; Cricetidae
Source: RefSeq, a predicted model, not a curated record